This 752-nucleotide ribosomal RNA is filed under the name uncultured bacterium. Its description in RNAcentral is "bacterial SSU rRNA". It matches the Rfam family "Bacterial small subunit ribosomal RNA", at positions 48 to 796 of the family's 1533-position model. The record is from RNAcentral.
GUAAUACAUGCAAGCCGAACGGCAAGUUGAGUAGCAAUACUUGACCUAGAGUGGCGUAUGGGUGCGUAACACGUAUGCAAUCUACCCUCAACAGGAGGAUAGCUCCCCGAAAGGGGAAUUAAUACUCCAUAAGAUCACAGUCAGGCAUCUGAGAGUGAUUAAACUACAAGGGGUUGAGGAUGAGCAUGCGGUUGAUUAGUUAGUUGGUGAGGUAACGGCUCACCAAGACGAUGAUCAAUAGGGGAACUGAGAGGUUGAUCCCCCACACUGGCACUGAGAUACGGGCCAGACUCCUACGGGAGGCAGCAGUAGGGAAUAUUGGUCAAUGGGUGAGAGCCUGAACCAGCCAUGCCGCGUGCAGGAAGAAGGCCUUCUGGGUUGUAAACUGCCUUUGCCGGGGGAUAAAAUGGCUUUGCGAAGCUAAUUGAAGGUACCCGGUGAAUAAGCCACGGCUAACUACGUGCCAGCAGCCGCGGUAAUACGUAGGUGGCAAGCGUUGUCCGGAUUUAUUGGGUUUAAAGGGUGCGUAGGCGGUUCUUUAAGUCAGUGGUGAAAUACAGCCGCUUAACGGUUGAGGUGCCAUUGAUACUGAAGAACUUGAGUACAGACGAGGUAGGCGGAAUUGACGGUGUAGCGGUGAAAUGCUUAGAUAUCGUCAAGAACACCGAUAGCGAAGGCAGCUUACUAGACUGUAACUGACGCUGAGGCACGAAAGUGUGGGGAUCAAACAGGAUUAGAUACCCUGGUAGUCC